ACAACAUACGGGUGAGUGGUCCAAGCAUUAAUAAAUGUAAUUGUAAACAAUAAUUCACUCCAAAAAAAAAAGUGAAUUUAUCCAAAAUGAGUAGGAGCCCCACCAUUUGUUUCUCUCUUAUUAGUAAAGAUUAUCAAGAAAUACAGCCAUUUAAUGAGGGAAAAAAAAAAAAGAAGAAGAAUUACAUCAUAAAGCAUUUAUAAGGUAUAUCAGGGUUGGAAGAUUUUUUAACUGUCCUAACCUUGCCAAGAUUUUGGGAUUUCGUAUUCGUUUCGAUUUUCAUAAGAAGUGUCGAUGCAGUUAUGAUCAAGGCCAGCAAUACUCAAAAUGCCACUAUGAGAAAUAGGCCUUAAUCCCAAGAAAUCCCUUGUAGUUCCAUCAA
This 382-nucleotide long non-coding RNA is filed under the name Olea europaea subsp. europaea. Lineage: Eukaryota; Viridiplantae; Streptophyta; Magnoliopsida; Lamiales; Oleaceae. The record is from RNAcentral.